UUUUUUUUUGUUUUGUUUUGUUUUUUUUUUUACUAGAACACUGAAAUGGCCCUCCAAUGAGAUCACAGCUCAUUUAAGUUUGAGACCCUGCCUUAGGUGAACUAGGAUGCUUAAGGGUGGUGAUAUGCUGGUUCCUGACAAGAGAUGAAGAAAUCAAAGUCAGCUUUUCAAGACAGCCCCAAGACUCCUCGCAACCUGUGUUCAAAUGUGAGGCUGUUGUCAGGUGAUGAAUGCAAGGAAGAGGCACUCAACUGACAUGAAACAUGUCAAAGACAACAUGAAGGUGACAUUUCAACAUAGGCAAAAAGUGGUUCAAGAACCUGCCACAGCUUCUACUGUCCUGGACCUUUUCCCAAGAUUUCUGUACACCUGGCUUGGUUGACCAAGACUUCACAAUGCUGUUUGUUGGGGAGGAAGUGUCUGCUAAGUUCCUUGCAAAGUGGCCAACCAAGCCAAGGAUCAUCAAAGAUUGCAAAAAUCUGUCUCAGAGUACAGAAUUGGAUGAGCUGCUCAUUUCUGCACAGCGUUACUCUGACGAGGGUG
Molecule: long non-coding RNA, 543 nt
Organism: Oreochromis aureus
Lineage: Eukaryota; Metazoa; Chordata; Actinopteri; Cichliformes; Cichlidae
Source: Ensembl